GAUGAACGCUAGCGGAAGGCUUAAUACAUGCAAGUCGAGCGGUAGUCCCUUUCGGGGGAUGAGAGCGGCGCACGGGUGAGUAACGCGUACAUGACCUGCCUAUCAGAAGGGGAUAGCCCUGGGAAACUGGGAUUAAUACCCCAUGGCAUUGUAUUUUUAAAUGGAUACAGUUAAAGCUGAGGCGCUGAUAGAUGGAUGUGCGUCUGAUUAGCUAGUUGGUGGGGUAAAGGCCCACCAAGGCGACGAUCAGUAGGGGGCGUGAGAGCGUGGUCCCCCACACGGGUACUGAGACACGGACCCGACUCCUACGGGAGGCAGCAGUAAGGAAUAUUGGUCAAUGCCCGCAAGGGUGGACCGGCCAUUCCGCGUGGAGGAUGAAGGCCCUAUGGGUUGUAAACUUCUUUUAGAUGGGAAGAAAAUGCUUUGUUUACAAGGUACUGACGGUACCAUCAGAAUAAGCACCGGCUAACUCCGUGCCAGCAGCCGCAGUAA
Molecule: ribosomal RNA, 492 nt
Filed under: uncultured bacterium
Lineage: Bacteria
Description: partial 16S ribosomal RNA
Rfam family: Bacterial small subunit ribosomal RNA
Source: RNAcentral